GACGAACGCUGGCGGCGUGCUUAACACAUGCAAGUCGAACGGAAAGGCCCUGCUUUUGUGGGGUGCUCGAGUGGCGAACGGGUGAGUAACACGUGAGUAACCUGCCCUUGACUUUGGGAUAACUUCAGGAAACUGGGGCUAAUACCGGAUAGGAGCUCCUGCUGCAUGGUGGGGGUUGGAAAGUUUCGGCGGUUGGGGAUGGACUCGCGGCUUAUCAGCUUGUUGGUGGGGUAGUGGCUUACCAAGGCUUUGACGGGUAGCCGGCCUGAGAGGGUGACCGGCCACAAUGGGACUGAGGUACGGCCCAGACUCCUACGGGAGGCAGCAGUGGGGAAUAUUGCACAAUGGGCGGGAGCCUGAUGCAGCAACGCCGCGUGCGGGAUGACGGCCUUCGGGUUGUAAACCGCUUUCGCCUGUGACGAAGCGUGAGUGACGGUAAUGGGUGAAGAAGCACCGGCUAACUACGUG
RNAcentral lists this ribosomal RNA (468 nucleotides) under uncultured bacterium. RNAcentral's name for it is "partial 16S ribosomal RNA". It matches the Rfam family "Bacterial small subunit ribosomal RNA", at positions 28 to 507 of the family's 1533-position model. The record is from RNAcentral.